AAAAUGGGAUUGUUGUAAAGGCGUGCACAUGCUCGAAGCCAAUUCAAUUGCAYGGGUUCCAAGCCACAUUCCCGUAACACACUCCAAGAAGGUGUAGAAUUCCUGACCCCUAGUAUGGUGCGUAAAAAUCGUAAGAGCCACUUUUGAAUACAAUUCUCYAUCUCUUGACCCUGUUGUAGAUAAGAAGUGGCCCAAAUCUGAGAAGCGUACAUGCUGGCUGGAAUGACAUAAGUUUUGAAUAACCAGAGAUACGCAUGUAAACGGUGAG
RNAcentral lists this long non-coding RNA (268 nucleotides) under Dunaliella salina. RNAcentral describes it as "long non-coding RNA (DSAL_LNC000409)". The record is from RNAcentral. Lineage: Eukaryota; Viridiplantae; Chlorophyta; Chlorophyceae; Chlamydomonadales; Dunaliellaceae.